GGUUAUUAUAUCAAAGCUCUUGAUAGGACACAUGUACCCUACAUAGUAGGAGAUAAAUCCUAUGGAUGUUGAACACCUGGCCCUUCUGUGAAGUUUGGAAUCACCAGGCAUAUGUCAAUGUCAGAAACAGUUCAUGCAUCCUCUGGGUAUCUUGGAAUGUCUUCCCCACAGACAGACGAGAGGGUCUACUGUAUCCUGAAUCUAGCUAAUAUAAAUCCAACCUCUUUAGCCCCUGGGAACUGAAGAGCUGAAAAACCUUCACAAUGCAGCAGAAGAAAUUACUUCAGCCAUCACCAAGACGGAGUCUCCUCUGGGGAAGGAGCUGGCAUUUCUUUAACAAUGCAUUAUGCCUCAUGGCAUUGGAGAAGAGUUUGAAGGCUGGCCGGCCACUCUGUUGUGGCAGCUCUCCCAAACCCUCUCACAUCACACUCACAGUUAGUCUUCACCCCAUAGAUUUUUAUUCUCUGAGCAUAACUUCUUACAAAUAAGGCAGCUUGCCACUCUGCCCUCUUGUCAGUUGUCAGAAGCUUUACUGAUUUAUGCUUUGGAAGUAUAUCUAGCUGCUUCCCCCUUACAAAAGUAAGAAAGUAGAAAAAGAAAUAAUUUCUAAACAGGGGCACUGGUCCUAGUUCUAUGUUUUUAAUUCCCUGGAAAUCCUUUGAACUUUGUUUCAGGUGCAAUAGCAAAAGUUACAUA
Molecule: long non-coding RNA, 696 nt
Organism: Heterocephalus glaber (naked mole-rat)
Lineage: Eukaryota; Metazoa; Chordata; Mammalia; Rodentia; Bathyergidae
Source: RefSeq, a predicted model, not a curated record